GCUGAGAUAGUUUAACUGGUUAAAACCUACCACUCAUAACGGUAAGAUAAAGGUUCAAGUCCUUUUCUCAGCU
This 73-nucleotide transfer RNA is filed under the name Sphingobacteriaceae bacterium. Its description in RNAcentral is "tRNA-Met". It matches the Rfam family "tRNA". Rfam says of the family: Transfer RNA (tRNA) molecules are approximately 80 nucleotides in length. Their secondary structure includes four short double-helical elements and three loops (D, anti-codon, and T loops). Lineage: Bacteria; Pseudomonadati; Bacteroidota; Sphingobacteriia; Sphingobacteriales; Sphingobacteriaceae. The record is from RNAcentral.